Molecule: microRNA precursor, 83 nt
Filed under: Calidris pugnax (ruff)
Lineage: Eukaryota; Metazoa; Chordata; Aves; Charadriiformes; Scolopacidae
Description: miRNA (ENSCPUG00000007296.1)
Rfam family: mir-103/107 microRNA precursor family
About the family: This family consists of the mammalian microRNA (miRNA) precursors mir-103 and mir107. Animal miRNAs are transcribed as ~70nt precursors and subsequently processed by the Dicer enzyme to give a ~22nt product.
Source: RNAcentral
GUUCUCUUUGCUUUCAGCUUCUUUACAGUGUUGCCUUGUGGCAUGGAGUUCAAGCAGCAUUGUACAGGGCUAUCAAAGCAUGG